RNAcentral lists this transfer RNA (70 nucleotides) under Cellana orientalis. Its description in RNAcentral is "tRNA-Asp". The record is from RNAcentral. Lineage: Eukaryota; Metazoa; Mollusca; Gastropoda; Nacellidae.
AAAAAAUUAGUUAAUGUUAUAAUAUGGGUUUGUCGUACCUAAGUUACUGAGUUUUAAUCAGUAUUUUUUG